UACGGAGGGUGCAAGCGUUAUCCGGAUUUACUGGGUUUAAAGGGUGUGUAGGCGGAUUUUUAAGUCAGUGGUGAAAUCUCCGGGCUUAACCCGGAAACUGCCAUUGAUACUAUUUGUCUUGAAUACUGUGGAGGUCAGCGGAAUAUGUCAUGUAGCGGUGAAAUGCUUAGAUAUGACAUAGAACACCAAUUGCGAAGGCAGCUGGCUACACAAAUAUUGACACUGAGGCACGAAAGCGUGGGGAGCAAACAGG
This 253-nucleotide ribosomal RNA is filed under the name uncultured bacterium. RNAcentral's name for it is "partial 16S ribosomal RNA". It matches the Rfam family "Bacterial small subunit ribosomal RNA", at positions 524 to 776 of the family's 1533-position model. The record is from RNAcentral.